RNAcentral lists this ribosomal RNA (747 nucleotides) under Micropsalliota megarubescens. Its description in RNAcentral is "eukaryotic LSU rRNA". It matches the Rfam family "Eukaryotic large subunit ribosomal RNA", at positions 172 to 905 of the family's 3401-position model. Lineage: Eukaryota; Fungi; Basidiomycota; Agaricomycetes; Agaricales; Agaricaceae. The record is from RNAcentral.
GGACCGUAUACAAGUCUCCUGGGAUGGAGCAUCAUAGAGGGUGAGAAUCCCGUCUCUGAUACGGACUACCAGUGCAUUGUGGUAUGCUCUCAACGAGUCGAGUUGUUUGGGAAUGCAGCUCAAAAUGGGUGGUAAAUUCCAUCUAAAGCUAAAUAUUGGCGAGAGACCGAUAGCGAACAAGUACCGUGAGGGAAAGAUGAAAAGAACUUUGGAAAGAGAGUUAAACAGUACGUGAAAUUGCUGAAAGGGAAACGCUUGAAGUCAGUCGCGUCUGCUGGGAAUCAGCCUUGCUUUUGCGUGGUGUACUUCCUAGUUUGAUGGGUCAGCAUCAAUUUUGACUGCUGGAAAAAGAUAGGAGGAAUGUGGCAGCUCCGGCUGUGUUAUAGCCUCUUAUUGUAUACAGCAGUUGGGAUUGAGGAACGCAGCACGCCGAAAGGCCGGGUCUUCGGACUAUGUUCGUGCUUAGGAUGCUGGCAUAAUGGCUUUAAGCGACCCGUCUUGAAACACGGACCAAGGAGUCUAACAUGCCUGCGAGUGUUUGGGUGGAAAACUCGAGCGCGUAAUGAAAGUGAAAGUUGAGAUCCCUGUCGUGGGGAGCAUCGACGCCCGGACCAGAACUUUUGGGACGGAUCCGCGGUAGAGCAUGUAUGUUGGGACCCGAAAGAUGGUGAACUAUGCCUGAAUAGGGUGAAGCCAGAGGAAACUCUGGUGGAGGCUCGUAGCGGUUCUGACGUGCAAAUCGAUCGU